Molecule: ribosomal RNA, 376 nt
Filed under: uncultured bacterium
Lineage: Bacteria
Description: bacterial SSU rRNA
Rfam family: Bacterial small subunit ribosomal RNA
Source: RNAcentral
UACGUAGGUGACGAGCGUUAUCCGGAUUUACUGGGCGUAAAGCGCUUGUAGGUGGCUUCGUAAGUUGGGCGUGAAAACUCUGGGCUUAACCCAGAGACGCCGUCCAAUACUGCGAGGCUAGAGGAUGUCAGAGGAAGGUGGAAUUCCUGGUGUAGUGGUGAAAUGCGUAGAUAUCAGGAGGAACACCCGUGGCGAAGGCGGCCUUCUGGGGCAUUCCUGACACUGAGAAGCGAAAGCUAGGGGAGCAAACAGGAUUAGAAACCCUGGUAGUCCUAGCUGUAAACGAUGGAUGCUAGGUGUUGGCGGAUUUAACCCUGCCAGUGCCGAAGCUAACGCGUUAAGCAUCCCGCCUGGGAAGUACGAUCGCAAGAUUAAA